RNAcentral lists this long non-coding RNA (620 nucleotides) under Helianthus annuus (common sunflower). Lineage: Eukaryota; Viridiplantae; Streptophyta; Magnoliopsida; Asterales; Asteraceae. The record is from RNAcentral.
GGUGGCCACCGCUUCUUGUGGUGAUGUUGAUUUAGCACCAAAGUCUGGAGACACUUCUUUGACCCCUAUCCUUUUUAACCAACUUUUAUAAUUAAUGUAACUGGACAUAUAUUGUGAUCGAUGACCAGAGAUGUGUUUUCCAGGAUUCAUGAAGAAACAUUCUAAAGGUGUUCGUGUGGACCAAAGUUCCCAUUAGGGCGACCUUCCAACCUUUCUAUCAGAUGAUCUUGCACUGCUUCAGUUUAGGCCUUUAGGCCUGCAUAAGAAAAAGGAACAACUAUUGUAUGCCAUUUACUUUAUAACUACUUGGACUUUAUGGCUGCAUCGCAACAAAAAACUUUUCAAUGGGAAGAGUUAGGUGGAAGAAAUCAAGGUUGUGACCUUCUGGCGUGUAACAAGGAGGCUCAAGUCUUGACAAUUGGAGGAGGUUCAAGAAUUUAGUCUUGGUUAGUUUUUUGGCGUGCUGUAUUUCAUUCUGUACUGUUGUGGGAGUAUUAGGGCUGUUUAGCUGCUUGCUAAAGUCCCAGUUUGUAUUAUGUUCUAUUUUAUCACAGAGGAGAUCUCUCAUCUUACUCUAAAUCUAAUGUUAAAUUGUAGCUGGAUCAGGACUUGAUCCCCCA